Molecule: ribosomal RNA, 506 nt
Filed under: uncultured bacterium
Lineage: Bacteria
Description: partial 16S ribosomal RNA
Rfam family: Bacterial small subunit ribosomal RNA
Source: RNAcentral
AGUGAACGCUGGCGGUAGGCCUAACACAUGCAAGUCGAACGGCAGCACAGAGGAGCUUGCUCCUUGGGUGGCGAGUGGCGGACGGGUGAGGAAUACAUCGGAAUCUACUCUGUCGUGGGGGAUAACGUAGGGAAACUUACGCUAAUACCGCAUACGACCUACGGGUGAAAGCAGGGGAUCUUCGGACCUUGCGCGAUUGAAUGAGCCGAUGUCGGAUUAGCUAGUUGGCGGGGUAAAGGCCCACCAAGGCGACGAUCCGUAGCUGGUCUGAGAGGAAGAUCAGCCACACUGGAACUGAGACACGGUCCAGACUCCUACGGGAGGCAGCAGUGGGGAAUAUUGGACAAUGGGCGCAAGCCUGAUCCAGCCAUACCGCGUGGGUGAAGAAGGCCUUCGGGUUGUAAAGCCCUUUUGUUGGGAAAGAAAUCCAUCUGGUUAAUACCCGGGUGGGAUGACGGUACCCAAAGAAUAAGCACCGGCUAACUUCAUGCCAGCCGCCGCAGUAA